This 174-nucleotide ribosomal RNA is filed under the name uncultured bacterium. RNAcentral describes it as "partial 16S ribosomal RNA". It matches the Rfam family "Bacterial small subunit ribosomal RNA", at positions 328 to 520 of the family's 1533-position model. The record is from RNAcentral.
ACGCUCGACACCUACGGGAGGCAGCAGUGGGGAAUAUUGCACAAUGGGGGAAACCCUGAUGCAGCAACGCCGCGUGAAGGAAGACGGUUUUCGGAUUGUAAACUUCUGUUCUUAGUGAAGAUAGUGACGGUAGCUAAGGAGCAAGCCACGGUAAUCUGAGCGGGCUGGCAAGGC